CAUGGGGCCCAGUCUCAUGAAUUGUGAGAUCACGAUGACCUGAGCCAAAACCAAGAGUCAGAUGCUCCACCAACUGAGCCACCCAGGUGCCCCCCUCAGGGAAGUAUUUCGUAGUGAGAAGGGCUGAAGACUACUGAAGAAGGGGAGAUGAUGGACUGCUGUGAAAGCAGCAUGCAGUUUUAGUCAGGGUGAGAAAGGAUGAAGCCCUGGGAGCCAUUUGCAGCCAUCUUUCACCAAUGAGAAGAGAACCUGACUCAAAAGGGAAUUAACAGUGAAGAGGCAUAGCUGAAGAUGGAAAGACUGAGCCCUGAUAAUAUUGUUGAGCCCUGAAUCAGGUCAUGCUUUAUAGUUAAAUGAGCAAAUUCCUUUUAUUGUAACCAGAUUAAGUUGUGUGAUCUGUAUCUUGAAACCUAGAGACGCCUACCAUAUCUAUUUAAAAAUUAAUAUAGAUGAAACCUAGGGGAAUGCAUUUCUUUGAACUCCUCUCCUCCUCCUCUCCAAAAUGACAAUCAUGUUCAUUAUCAACAUAAGCAUCCCAAAUGAUGGGAAGAAGUAUAAAAUAUAUCCAAUCUCAUGUUACAUGCAGAUAUGUGACACAAAAUAACUCUUCCUAAAGCAUAUUUGGAUGUAAAUGCUUUGCAAAUAAAGUGAGGACUUACUUUACCAUUCUAAGGUAGGACGCUGUGCCCCCACGUUCAUACAGUUUUGUCCACUGUGAGUGUGGAGAAUUGAAAAAGAAAUGAAGACACGCUAGAAUAAGGUAAGGGUCAAGCCCUGAGGAGGCUUUUUAAAACAAGAGACACAAUGAAUGAAAUUUACUGGAUGUGAAAUGACACUGACUCUAAAGUAUGAAAAUCAAAUGAAAAUUGAAGGAGGCAGAUAAUCUAUUCAAUGUCUAAAUGAUAAUUAUCAAAUGUUUGGAAAUUAUUUUUAAUAAUAUACUUUAUUAAACUCUUAAUCACACAGAUUUCUAGCUGUUAUAUUUAAAAAAUAAAUAUCUGUAAGAAUGCACACCCAAGUAACAUGUUAAUAGUACAAAACAGCUUUCUCAGCCUAAACGCCCAAAGGGCCUUAACCAAAAAGGCUGAUUUUUAAACCUGGGAAUGGAGAAGAUGUAGAAAGGUUCUGGCUAAUUCAGUGAUCUACCUUAACAAGUAAUUUGGAAACCAUUUUUACAUCUUUUUUAAAAAAACUAUUGUUCUUAGAUUUGGAAAUAAUUAACGGUUUCACAAGAAGUUGCAAAGAUAGAUAGAUUCCCUUUACCCAGGUUUCCCCAAUGGUUACAUCUUACAUACUUCUAGUACAAUAUCAAAACGAAGAAUGUUAUAUGGGAACAAAGUGUAUAGAGUUCUCUAUCUUACAUGUGUAGACUUGUGUGACCAUCAUAAUCAGAAUACAGAACUAUUUUAUUAACACAAAGAUUUCCCGCCCCCCCCAUCCACCAGAACAAAAGCUUCAUGUAAAAAUACUUAACCCUGUUGUAAGAGUAUGUAUUUUGUAUUUGAACAUGGUCUAGACUAUUUCAUCUCUGCAAAAUGUUGUUCCCACCCUUUGAAUUAAUGCCAUGACCAAUUAUUAAUAGGUCCUUAUCCUCAAUUUUAAAAAAAAAACAACGCAAUCAAUCUGAACUUCUAGACUUAUUUCCU
This is a long non-coding RNA of Felis catus (domestic cat), 1646 nucleotides long. RefSeq lists it as uncharacterized. NCBI's taxonomy places the organism in Eukaryota, Metazoa, Chordata, Mammalia, Carnivora, Felidae. The transcript is spliced from 2 exons. The record is from RefSeq and is a predicted model, not a curated record.